UUACAAAUAAAAACAAAAAUUUUUAUUCUUUUAUUUUAUUGGGUACAAUAUACCUCACAUAAAAUUUGCAUUUGAACCAUUUUUAAGUGUAAAGUUCAGUGGUAUUAAGCACAUACUGUUUUGCAGUAUCACCACCAUCCAUCUACAGAAUUUUUUUUUUAUCUUUCCAAACAGAAAUUCUGUAACCAUGGAACAUUAACUCCCCAUUCCUACUCCCCCAGCCCCUGGCCACCACUUUUACUUUCUGUCUCUAUGAGUUUCACCACUUAAUGGUGUGUCACAGAAGUGGAAUCACACUGUAUUUGUUCUUUUGUGUUGGGCUUAUUGCACUUAGCAUAAUGCCUUCAAGAUUCAGUAGUAUUGUAGCCUGCAUCAGAAUUUCCUUUUGAAGGCUGAAUAAUAUUCCGUUGUAUGUAUUUACCCCAAAAUGAGCAAAAAAACACCCUUCGGAAAAAAAUAAAUAUUGGGCCACCUGGUAGCACGUCUGCCUUCGGUUCAGGUCAUGAUCUCAGGGUCCUGGGAUGGAGCCCUGCACAUCCCAUUGGGAAUCCCUGCUCAGUCUGCUUCUCCCUCUGCCCUUCCCCCAACUCAUACUCUCUCUUUCUCUCUCCCUCAAAUAAAUAUUUUUUCCAAAAGAAAAAUAAUAAAAGUUCUCACAGAAAAUCUUAGAAAGGGUGUGUGUGUGUGUGUGUGUGUGUGUGUGUAUUUAUAUGUACCUAGACAUAAAAAAUGCAACAAUCUUGAAAUGGUCAGGUAUCUGCAAAACAUUUCCUAACUCUCUGGGACUUGAUCACUCCUAUUAGAAUUCUUCCAUAAUUCCUUUCAGUUUCUUCUUUUAAAGUACACCACACCAUCACACAUUAGAUUAUACUUGCUGAAGUCCUGUAAAAUCAUCAACUUCUUCUGGAUUGAAAUUAAGGAUUAGCCUUCUUUGUGUCUGCCCUAGCCUACACCACAGGACUUGGCCCCAAACAAGCCAUCAACCAGCAACUGGAAUAAAGGAAAGCAAAAAAAAAGAAUCCUCAUUAUCUUCAGGAUAUCCUGGAAAAUUAUUUCCAGUUAAUAAAAGUUUCUUCUCAUUAAGAAAACAACAUUUGGCAGUGGGUUUGUCUAAUAAUUUACGUAUGUAUGGUUUAUAUUUCAAAGGAGAUAUCAAAUUUUGUGAACAGUCACGUAACAAUCAUUAAAUGCCAAGCACUAUGCCAGGCACUUAUGCAGAUUUUACCAUUUAAAGUAGGCAUAGGCAAUAUGAAAUACAGGAUGUGUUGUUGCCAUUUUAUAGACAGGGCCAUAGUGUUUAAUUGCACAACAGGACAAAAAGUGAUGGAGUCUGAAUUCCAGUCUGUCUGAUGUCCAGAUCUGUGUUGUUCACCCCUCGUCUACUCUAGGUUUCAUUAGGGGUAUUCGAAGAAGUCCGUGUGUUCACAGACUAUGAGAAGUCAGGCAAGGUGUCAAAUGUGGAUUUUAGGUUCACAGGCAUCUUUCUACGAGUUUGGUUGCCUUUAAGAACUGUAUUUGUGGGAGAAAACACAUCAAGAACUGCCAAGAAUCUGGUUGCCUACAGGUGCCCUCACCUUUGCAAUCCAGAGAAGUGAAAUGAGCAUGGAAAGAAGAUAGUUCAAUAAGUAAGGAUAGAUUCAAUAUGGAAACCAAACUGUUGAUCCAAACAGUCUGAGGAUACUUAAAUAUGCCCCUCCUUCAGCUGCUGACAUGGAGUGGGACCUAGUACCUGAUGACAACAUGGGAGACAGACAUCCUCAGUAUGUGUUUGAUGGAGGAGUGAAUUGUUACAACCCUUUGGAUAAAAAGUAUGCAAUAUAUAUUGAAAUAGGAAGUAUCUGCGAUUCAGUGGUCCCACCACUGGAAAUCUCCUUGUGGAUAUAAAAGUAUUAUAUGAUAAAGAUAUGCACAUAAGGAUGUUUAUUGCUGUGCUAUUGGUUGUGAUAAAAGCCUAGAUCAAUUUACAUGUUGAUCAAUAAUGGAACAAGUGGUUCUAUAGUAGGGUCAUCUAUUCUACGGAGUUAGCUGUUAAAAGACUGAGUUAGGUCUCUGCCUAUUGACCUGGCCAGAUAAUACACUGUAAAGUGAAUAAAGCAAUGGUCUGGUAAUAUGUUAGAAUUCAUGUUAAAAAAGUACACCAAAAAAGCAAACUAGCUAUGUUUUUAUAAGUAUAAAGUUAGAGUGAUACACAACUCAGGCAGUUAAACUGGUUACUGUAAGUGGAGUAAGUGGAGUAGAAAUUGGGAAGUGUAGGAAGAAACUUUCUGUCCAUAUGCUUUUUUUGGAUUAUGUCAUUUGUUACAAUGGCACACACUGCUUUUACAGUAUGAAAGAUUAAUUGAGAAAACACAUAUUCUUCAAGUGAUUUUUCAUAAACAAAGAUGAUUAAUCUUACAGUUUUAACUGCUUUAAGUGGUUAUAAAAAGAAAAAUCCCCAAGAUUGAGUCUUUUUUUUCUAACUCUUCAUCCAGCCUUGAUUUUAUCUGGUGAAGCGCCCAUCUGCCUUCUUUUGGAAUCUAUAUUUCUCACUGAAGUCUUACAAAUGUGCUACAAUAAGUACUACCAACAAAUCCACAUUUACAUGAUAUUGCAUCCCUGUGAUACUUUCUGGCCUCGUACAUAUUGUAGUUUGUGAUUAGUCUCUAAUUAUCGUAUCUCUCUGUUUUAGGCAGAUCCUUGUGUGCAGUGACUGCUUUAUUCCUGUUUUACCCUCAGCAUCC
Molecule: long non-coding RNA, 2720 nt
Filed under: Canis lupus familiaris (dog)
Lineage: Eukaryota; Metazoa; Chordata; Mammalia; Carnivora; Canidae
Description: lncRNA (ENSCAFG00000050360.1)
Source: RNAcentral